GGGCGGAUGGUCUAGGGGUAGUAAGUAUUCAUCUCAACCCAUAGAAACUCUACUAAUGAGGAAAAAGUGAUUUUCGCUUCGCAUGUUUCGCUUCGUGCUUGUGAAAGGCCGGGGGUUCGAAUCCCCCUUCGUCCA
This is a transfer RNA of 135 nucleotides. It matches the Rfam family "tRNA". Rfam says of the family: Transfer RNA (tRNA) molecules are approximately 80 nucleotides in length. Their secondary structure includes four short double-helical elements and three loops (D, anti-codon, and T loops). The record is from Rfam.